GACGAACGCUGGCGGCGUGCUUAACACAUGCAAGUCGAACGGAAAGGCCCUGCUUUUGUGGGGUGCUCGAGUGGCGAACGGGUGAGUAACACGUGAGUAACCUGCCCUUGACUUUGGGAUAACUUCAGGAAACUGGGGCUAAUACCGGAUAGGAGCUCCUGCUGCAUGGUGGGGGUUGGAAAGUUUCGGCGGUUGGGGAUGGACUCGCGGCUUAUCAGCUUGUUGGUGGGGUAGUGGCUUACCAAGGCUUUGACGGGUAGCCGGCCUGAGAGGGUGACCGGCCACAGUGGGACUGAGAUACGGCACAGACUCCUACGGGAGGCAGCAGUGGGGAAUAGUGCACAAUGGGCGGAAGCCUGAUGCAGCAGCGCCGCGUGCGGGAUGACGGCCUUCGGGUUGUAAACCGCUUUCGCCUGUGACGAAGCGUGAGUGACGGUAAUGGGUAAAGAAGCACCGGCUAACUACG
This 466-nucleotide ribosomal RNA is filed under the name uncultured bacterium. RNAcentral's name for it is "partial 16S ribosomal RNA". It matches the Rfam family "Bacterial small subunit ribosomal RNA", at positions 28 to 505 of the family's 1533-position model. The record is from RNAcentral.